ACGGUGACCUGGUGGAGACAUCUGUCACCCCACUGAUCACCAAGGCUGACUGGGCUGCUCUGCCUGCCGGGGCGGGUGUCCCCUUCCUCCCUCACGGCUCCACACGCGCCCUUCCCGAAGCUGCACGCUCGGUGGAAGAGGGUGGCCACCCUGAGAAAGGAGGACCGUUCCUCAGUCAAGGGUUUACGAGUAGCUGCGCUACCCUGCUGGAAGCUCCAAACAAGCGCUCAAAGUCCCUCACUUUCUUUGAGACAAAAAUCUCUCUAAGUCACUAAGUUGCCCAAGGCUGGGCUUGAACCUUUGAUCCUUCCUGCCU
This 316-nucleotide small nuclear RNA is filed under the name Chinchilla lanigera (long-tailed chinchilla). RNAcentral's name for it is "7SK RNA (ENSCLAG00000021497.1)". It matches the Rfam family "7SK RNA". From Rfam's summary of the family: 7SK was discovered as an abundant small nuclear RNA in the mid-70s but a possible function has only recently been suggested. Two independent studies have found that 7SK RNA binds the CDK9/cyclin T complex (known as elongation factor P-TEFb). The record is from Rfam by way of RNAcentral. Lineage: Eukaryota; Metazoa; Chordata; Mammalia; Rodentia; Chinchillidae.